CGAGCGUUGUCCGGAAUCGUUGGGCGUAAAGCGCGGGGAAGCGGGUUGGCUAGUCUGGCGUGAAGCCUCGAGGCUCGGCCUCGAGGCUGCUCCGGAAACUGCUUUGCUUUAGUCCGGAAGAGGAGACUGGAAUUCCUGGCGUAGCGGUGAACUGCGCAGAUAUCGGGAAUAACACCGGUGGCUAACGCGGGUCUCUGGGACCUAACUGA
This 209-nucleotide ribosomal RNA is filed under the name uncultured bacterium. Its description in RNAcentral is "partial 16S ribosomal RNA". It matches the Rfam family "Bacterial small subunit ribosomal RNA", at positions 535 to 743 of the family's 1533-position model. The record is from RNAcentral.